RNAcentral lists this ribosomal RNA (74 nucleotides) under Clostridioides sp. ZZV14-6154. Lineage: Bacteria; Bacillati; Bacillota; Clostridia; Peptostreptococcales; Peptostreptococcaceae. The record is from RNAcentral.
UGUGGUUACAAUAGCAGAGAGGAUACACCUGUUCCCAUUCCGAACACAGAAGUUAAGCUCUCUAGCGCUGAUGG